CUGCAGCCAAUUAAGUUGACUGUAAUCUUUCCCCAUGGGAGCCUUGUGUGCAAUGGCUGCAAACAAUAGCCUCCUUGGUAGUGUAUGCAGCCUGUUGAAUGUAUGGGUUGCCCUAAGGAACCUUGGAGAUGGCC
This is a small nucleolar RNA of 134 nucleotides. Its record names the gene SNORA70. It matches the Rfam family "Small nucleolar RNA SNORA70". Rfam says of the family: snoRNA U70 seems to be exclusive to mammals and is a member of the H/ACA class of snoRNA which contain H (ANANNA) and ACA box motifs. The record is from Ensembl.